UACGAAGGGGGCUAGCGUUGCUCGGAAUCACUGGGCGUAAAGCGCACGUAGGCGGGUCGUUAAGUCGGGGGUGAAAUCCUGGAGCUCAACUCCAGAACUGCCUUCGAUACUGGCGAUCUUGAGUCUGGGAGAGGUGAGUGGAACUCCGAGUGUAGAGGUGAAAUUCGUAGAUAUUCGGGAAGAACACCAGUGGCGAAGGCGGGCUCACUGG
Molecule: ribosomal RNA, 211 nt
Filed under: uncultured bacterium
Lineage: Bacteria
Description: partial 16S ribosomal RNA
Rfam family: Bacterial small subunit ribosomal RNA
Source: RNAcentral